AUGCUCGAUUUGGCAACACAUAUACUAAAAUUAGAACAUUACAGAGAAGAUUUGCAUGGCCCCUGUGCAAGGAUGGCACGCAAAUUUGUGAAGCAUUCUAUAUUUUU
Sorex araneus (European shrew) is the source of this 107-nucleotide small nuclear RNA. Lineage: Eukaryota; Metazoa; Chordata; Mammalia; Eulipotyphla; Soricidae. The record is from Ensembl.